This 747-nucleotide ribosomal RNA is filed under the name uncultured Thermaceae bacterium. Its description in RNAcentral is "bacterial SSU rRNA". It matches the Rfam family "Bacterial small subunit ribosomal RNA", at positions 578 to 1329 of the family's 1533-position model. Lineage: Bacteria; Thermotogati; Deinococcota; Deinococci; Thermales; Thermaceae. The record is from RNAcentral.
GUCUUUCAAGUCCGAUGCUAAAGACUGGGGCUCAACCCCAGGGGUGCGUUGGAUACUGUGAGGCUAGACGGUCGGAGGGGGUAGCGGAAUUUCCGGAGUAGCGGUGAAAUGCGCAGAUACCGGAAGGAACGCCAAUAGCGAAGGCAGCUACCUGGACGACUUGUGACGCUGAGGCGCGAAAGCGUGGGGAGCAAACCGGAUUAGAUACCCGGGUAGUCCACGCCCUAAACCAUGAGUGCUGGGUGUCCGGCUUCUGCUGGGUGCCGUAGCUAACGCGCUAAGCACUCCGCCUGGGAAGUACGCACGCAAGUGUGAAACUCAAAGGAAUUGACGGGGGCCCGCACAAGCGGUGGAGCAUGUGGUUUAAUUCGAAGCGACGCGAAGAACCUUACCAGGCCUUGACAUGCCCGGAACCCCUCUGAAAGGAGGGGGUGCCCGCAAGGGAGCCGGGACACAGGUGCUGCAUGGCCGUCGUCAGCUCGUGUCGUGAGAUGUUGGGUUAAGUCCCGCAACGAGCGCAACCCCUAUCCCUAGUUGCCAGCAGUUCGGCUGGGCACUCUAUGGAGACUGCCUGCGAAAGCAGGAGGAAGGCGGGGAUGACGUCUGGUCCGCAUGGCCCUUACGGCCUGGGCGACACACGUGCUACAAUGCCAAGGACAGAGUGCUGCUACCUCGCGAGAGGACGCCAAUCGCAAAAACCUUGGCUCAGUUCGGAUUGGAGUCUGCAACUCGACUCCAUGAAGCCGG